RNAcentral lists this transfer RNA (68 nucleotides) under Bathymodiolus azoricus. Its description in RNAcentral is "tRNA-Tyr". The record is from RNAcentral. Lineage: Eukaryota; Metazoa; Mollusca; Bivalvia; Mytilida; Modiolidae.
CGCAAAAUGGCUGAAACAAAUAAUAGGCGGUUGGCUGUAAACCUUCUUAUGGGGAUUCUCUUUUGUGA